Long non-coding RNA from Pan troglodytes (chimpanzee), 843 nucleotides. RefSeq lists it as uncharacterized. NCBI's taxonomy places the organism in Eukaryota, Metazoa, Chordata, Mammalia, Primates, Hominidae. The record is from RefSeq and is a predicted model, not a curated record. The transcript is spliced from 4 exons.
AUUAAGUCCAUGGAAGGUUCUCAGGGGGUGCCUUCCCGGAGCAAAAUAUGCAUGUAACAAAUAUCAGCCAUCAUUAUUUCUACUAAAGCACUGAAAGAAACACAACUAAAAGACCUAAAACACAGAUUUAUAUUUUAUAGUGAUUUUGGGGGGGCAUGCCAUAGGAAAUGAUUUGAUAUCUGUAGAUUUUAAAGUCAAAAUGUUUCAUGGCUAAUUGAGAAAAAUCUUGGGCUCUUUAAGAUUAGUGUGAGGUUUAGAGACAAUAAAUGUAAAGCAUGUGACAUAGUGCCUGACAAAUACUCAGUAAGUUGUAGGAGGUGCUAUUAUUACCAAUGUCAUCAUGAUUCAUACAUUUCUUUUCUCUCCACUUUGGCUUGACAUGUGGAUACAUGAGGCUGGUAGGAAGAAGUCACCCAUGACUAUCUGGAACAACAUGGUGGGGAAGGCCAAGUUUCUGUGGUGACGUGUGGCAAAUGGAUUGUAAAUGAAGAUAGACUGUGUAAUGAAUGACGACACUAAAGACUAAUGUGAAGGACUUUAGGGAAAACAAAAGGCUUUCAUCUGAAAGGAUCAUCUGUGGACCAAGGUCACUCUCCAUCUUUUCCGCCAGUGCCCAACGGACUGAUCUUUACAGAUGGUGUCAACAGAUGCAUCUACCCUCUGGCUUCAAGUUGAGUUGGCCAAUGAAGGGAGGCGCUGCGGAAAGCACAUGACAUUUGCAGUUGUGGGCGACUGUGCUGUGGGAUGAAACCAGGCUCCUCAUCAAGAUGAACAUAGAUUCAAGUCUCCAUCUUAGCCAUUUCCUAGAUCUGUGAUUAUAAAUAAACUCCCUGACUUUUCUGA